CUGCCCUCAAGCACGGCUUGUGUGUUGGGCUCCGUCCCCCGAUCCCGGGGGACGGGCCCGAAAGGCAGCGGCGGCACCGCGUCCGGUCCUCGAGCGUAUGGGGCUUUGUCACCCGCUCUGUAGGCCCGGCCGGCGCCUGCCGAUCAACCAAAUUUUUAUCCA
Molecule: unclassified non-coding RNA, 162 nt
Filed under: uncultured Penicillium
Lineage: Eukaryota; Fungi; Ascomycota; Eurotiomycetes; Eurotiales; Aspergillaceae
Description: sequence contains ITS2
Source: RNAcentral